GACGAACGCUGGCGGCGUGCUUAACACAUGCAAGUCGAACGGUGAAGGUGGAGCUUGCUCCGCCGGAUCAGUGGCGAACGGGUGAGUAACACGUGGGCAACCUGCCCCUCACUUCGGGAUAACUCCGGGAAACCGGGGCUAAUACCGGAUACGACCUCCUUGGGCAUCCUUGGAGGUGGAAAGUUUUUCGGUGAGGGAUGGGCCCGCGGCCUAUCAGCUUGUUGGUGAGGUAGUGGCUCACCAAGGCGACGACGGGUAGCCGGCCUGAGAGGGCGACAGGCCACACUGGGACUGAGACACGGCCCAGACUCCUACGGGAGGCAGCAGUGGGGAAUAUUGCGCAAUGGGCGAAAGCCGGACGCAGCAACGCCGCGUGUGGGAUGAAGGCCUUCGGGUUGUAAACCGCUUUCAGCAGGGAAGAAGCCGCAAGGUGACGGUACCUGCAGAAGAAGCACCGGCUAACUACGUGCCAGCAGCCGCCGUAA
RNAcentral lists this ribosomal RNA (485 nucleotides) under uncultured bacterium. RNAcentral's name for it is "partial 16S ribosomal RNA". It matches the Rfam family "Bacterial small subunit ribosomal RNA", at positions 28 to 523 of the family's 1533-position model. The record is from RNAcentral.